GACGAACGCUGGCGGCGUGCCUAAUACAUGCAAGUUGAGCGCUGAAGGUUGGUACUUGUACCAACUGGAUGAGCAGCGAACGGGUGAGUAACGCGUGGGGAAUCUGCCUUUGAGCGGGGGACGACAUUUGGAAACGAAUGCUAAUACCGCAUAAAAACUUUAAACACAAGUUUUAAGUUUGAAAGAUGCAAUUGCAUCACUCAAAGAUGAUCCCGCGUUGUAUUAGCUAGUUGGUGAGGUAAAGGCUCACCAAGGCGAUGAUACAUAGCCGACCUGAGAGGGUGAUCGGCCACAUUGGGACUGAGACACGGCCCAAACUCCUACGGGAGGCAGCAGUAGGGAAUCUUCGGCAAUGGACGAAAGUCUGACCGAGCAACGCCGCGUGAGUGAAGAAGGUUUUCGGAUCGUAAAACUCUGUUGGUAGAGAAGAAAGUUGGUGAGAGUGGAAAGCUCAUCAAGUGACGGUAACUACCCAGAAAGGGACGGCUAACUACGUG
This 497-nucleotide ribosomal RNA is filed under the name uncultured bacterium. Its description in RNAcentral is "partial 16S ribosomal RNA". It matches the Rfam family "Bacterial small subunit ribosomal RNA", at positions 28 to 507 of the family's 1533-position model. The record is from RNAcentral.